GGGUUGUGAGGUUAAGCGACUAAGCGUACACGGUGGAUGCCCUGGCAGUCAGAGGCGAUGAAGGACGUGCUAAUCUGCGAAAAGCGUCGGUAAGGUGAUAUGAACCGUUAUAGCCGGCGAUGUCCGAAUGGGGAAACCCAGUGCAAUUCGUUGCACUAUCGUUAACUGAAUACAUAGGUUAACGAGGCGAACCGGGGGAACUGAAACAUCUAAGUACCCCGAGGAAAAGAAAUCAACCGAGAUUCCCCCAGUAGCGGCGAGCGAACGGGGAGCAGCCCAGAGUCUGAAUCAGCUUGUGUGUUAGUGGAACGGUCUGGAAAGUCCGACGGUACAGGGUGAUAGUCCCGUACACCAAAAUGCACAGGUUGUGAACUCGAAGAGUAGGGCGGGACACGUGGUAUCCUGUCUGAAUAUGGGGGGACCAUCCUCCAAGGCUAAAUACUCCUGACUGACCGAUAGUGAACCAGUACCGUGAGGGAAAGGCGAAAAGAACCCCGGCGAGGGGAGUGAAAAAGAACCUGAAACCGUGUACGUACAAGCAGUGGGAGCACCUUCGGGUGUGACUGCGUACCUUUUGUAUAAUGGGUCAGCGACUUAUAUUCUGUAGCAAGGUUAACCGUAUAGGGGAGCCGCAGGGAAACCGAGUCUUAACUGGGCGUUAAGUUGCAGGGUAUAGACCCGAAACCCGGUGAUCUAGCCAUGGGCAGGUUGAAGGUUGGGUAACACUAACUGGAGGACCGAACCGACUAAUGUUGAAAAAUUAGCGGAUGACUUGUGGCUGGGGGUGAAAGGCCAAUCAAACCGGGAGAUAGCUGGUUCUCCCCGAAAGCUAUUUAGGUAGCGCCUCGUGAAUUCAUCUUCGGGGGUAGAGCACUGUUUCGGCUAGGGGGUCAUCCCGACUUACCAACCCGAUGCAAACUACGAAUACCGAAGAAUGUUAUCACGGGAGACACACGGCGGGUGCUAACGUCCGUCGUGAAGAGGGAAACAACCCAGACCGCCAGCUAAGGUCCCAAAGUCAUGGUUAAGUGGGAAACGAUGUGGGAAGGCACAGACAGCCAGGAUGUUGGCUUAGAAGCAGCCAUCAUUUAAAGAAAGCGUAAUAGCUCACUGGUCGAGUCGGCCUGCGCGGAAGAUGUAACGGGGCUAAACCAUGCACCGAAGCUGCGGCAGCGACACUAUGUGUUGUUGGGUAGGGGAGCGUUCUGUAAGCCUGCGAAGGUG
This 1224-nucleotide ribosomal RNA is filed under the name Klebsiella variicola. RNAcentral's name for it is "bacterial LSU rRNA". It matches the Rfam family "Bacterial large subunit ribosomal RNA", at positions 1 to 1258 of the family's 2925-position model. Lineage: Bacteria; Pseudomonadati; Pseudomonadota; Gammaproteobacteria; Enterobacterales; Enterobacteriaceae. The record is from RNAcentral.